This is a long non-coding RNA of Leopardus geoffroyi (Geoffroy's cat), 3259 nucleotides long. RefSeq lists it as uncharacterized. The record is from RefSeq and is a predicted model, not a curated record. NCBI's taxonomy places the organism in Eukaryota, Metazoa, Chordata, Mammalia, Carnivora, Felidae. The transcript is spliced from 5 exons.
UUGAACCCACGAACCGCAAGAUCAUGACCUGAGCCGAAGUCGGACGCUUAGUCGACUGAGCCACCCGGGCGCCCCAAUACAUUUCUGUUUUUGAAUGCAGCGCCUGGCCUUGGAGUUCAGGAGCCGUUCAACGUGAUGUUCUCCCCGAGCAGUGUCAAGUCGCAUCUCCUAGUUUUCUGUCAUCUGUCCUGGGGAGGAGACGGGCCGUUCCCUUCAUGGUCUGCCAUUUGCUGCUUCAACCGUGUCCACGCCCUGAGCGGCCUGGCCACCUCUCAGAGGACAUGCGGGUGUGGUGGCCCGCACAGCCAGGCUGCUGAUUUGUCCAGGUUGCAGGAACUGGGAUUGUUAAUGCUGAAAUGAUCCAAAUGCUAAACGUUGCUGAAAUUGCACAAAGAUGCCUGGCUGGCCAAACAGAAAUGCGUGUGGCCCACAUGUAGCUCACGGGCCACGGUGUUCGGCCGCUUGCUGCGCGUGGACGUGGGGUUUCUCUCUGUGCCUCAUGUUCUGUCCCGACUCUUCUUGUUCUCUCAUGGAAAAUGGCAGAAAGUUCUGGAAACCUUCAUUUUGUGCUGAUUUUAAUUGUGAUAAAAUUUACAUAACAGAAAAUUCAUCAUUUGAACCAUCUGAAAGCAUCCAGUUCCGCGGCAGGAAGCACAUCUGCAGUCUGGUGUCACGACUGCCUCCGCCUGGUUCCAGAACCCCGUGUUACCUGGAACAGAAACCCCACACUCCUCUCCCCCGCCGCCAGCUCCUGGCAACCACUCUACCAGCUUUCUGUUUCUACCACCAAGCCAGUGAAGAUAAAAAGCCAUCCGGGAAAAAAAGCCAUGUAAGCAUCGUGAAGCGUGAUUCUCGUGGCCAACUUUAUAAGCGUCACACGGAGCGUGAUGGUGAUUCUUGCGAAUACGAGAAGGCAGGGGAUGAACCUAGUGCCUAGUAGAGACUUCUUCGUGAAGUAAAUGGGUGGAGCCUGGAUGGGGGUAAGGAACGGUGUUUGUGCCUGGGGUGGUGGAGCCUGGGGGUGCCGUGCGGCUGAAGCCGGAGGUUGGUCGGGCCACUUCUGGCAACGGCCACGAGGGCUCAGACACAAGCCAUUUUCCGAGGCCGCAGAAACACACAGCCUCGGCUCGUGAGGCGCACUGACAGGGGCGCUGUGUCCCAUCGGGUGCGGUGGGCGCUGCGGGGUGGCGGUGGGCACUGCGGGGUGGCAUGUGCUCUCUGGACCCCUGUCCCUCCCUGUGAGCUCCAGCAGGUGGCCCGCCGGUGUGUUCCCUGUGUUCUGGGGCCGGGGUGCAGGAGGCCCUCAGUGGACAUGAGGUGGUCCCCGAGGACGGAGCCCUGCAGGCAGUGCCGCACAGCACCCACGGAGAGAGCACCACGGCAGUGAGGAACGCACAGUACACGCGGUAACACAGGACACAAUUCACAAUACAAGAAGAAGGGACUUGCUGAAGGUCACAUGGCCACUAAGCAGAGGAUCAGACGGCGGCUGCCAGCAGCCACGUGUGGCUUUGAACCCGAGAUGUGGCCGGUCCCCAUGGAGUUGCGUUGUGGGCGUAAAAUGCAUGCUGACUUCGAAGACUCACUAGGAUACAAAGUGUGGUGCUUAAUAGCUUUGCCUAACCCAGGGCCAUGAAGAUAUAUCCCCAGUUGCUUACAAGUUUUAUAGUUGCAAUGCUUCCGUGGAGGUUAUUGAUACAUUUUGAGUUAACUUCUGUAUGUGGUGUGAGGUAAGGCUCCAGCUCCAUUCUUUUGCACGUGCACGUGCAGCUGUCUCAACCCCGUUUGCUGGAAACACUCUCCUCUCUCCACUGAGGGUCGUGGCCCCUGCUGAGGGCCAGGUGGCUACACGUAGGUGUUUGGGUCACUUCCGGACCCUAGUCCUGUGCAUGUUUAUCCGUGUGUGUGUCCUCAUGCCAGUGCCACAAUGUCUUGAUUCUUGUAAGUUUUGAAGUCAGUAAGUGUGAGUUCUCCAACUUUGCUUUUCUCUUUAAAGGUUCUUUUGGCUCUUUGGGGUCGCUGAAGUGUCACCUGAACUUGAGGGUUCAGCCAGCUGGGAUUCUGGUAGGGAUUGCCUUGAAUCUGAUCGAUUCGGGAAGUAUUAUUUGGAGCUCGUGUUCAGUCAUCAUGACUUGGCAUUUCCUCAGUCACCCUUGUGUCUCCCCCAGACCCUUUCGUCUGGGUUUUGUGCACGGGGGACAAAAGCAUGUCCACAGAAAAACAUUUCCAGGGCUUGGGCAGGACAGAGUGCUCAAUUUCCACAGAAGUUCUAAACGCGCGUGGGUCUCUUCUUCUGCUGACCCAGGGAGUGGCCGCAUCUGACAGUCCCCCGCCCGACUGCGUGUGUGCAGCAGGGGCAGCUCAGAUGGAGGCCAGCGCUCCCUCCCCCUCUGCACAGUGCACUUACCUGCAAAGUCCAAGGUCGAAAGGUGAGACGUGUGGAGGCCGUGCCCACCUGCUCUGGCAGAUGUGCAAGACUCUGGUGGGGAUGCACUCAGGCUGUGUCUGGAGCACACAGCCCAUCACACUUGAUCUCUGUUGGCCCCUCCAGAACACAGGCCUUCUCCUGUGGGCUUGUCCAGCCGCAGCCCUGACGUUUGUGCAGUUUAGCACCCCACGCGCUGGUGGCCUGAAUCUGCAUCGUCCCCGGGUCUGAGGCCUGCCUGGGGCCUUCUGUCAGCCCUGUUCUGCUGAGGCUGAAACUCCCACAGCCACUAGUGUCUGGUCUCUGCUUGGGGGCCAAUCCGGACAAGACCUUUGAAUUAGGAUCCCAAGCGGAUGGGCGGCUUUCCUUCCGCGGCGGCACAGCAGAGACCCUGUGAGUCCAAGCACAAGGCUUUCCCCGGCCCUCAUUAGCGUCUGUCCAGAGGUCAGAACCCGCCUGCUCACAGAGACACGCCUCAGGCCAGAGAGUCACCGCCAAGGGCUCAUCAGCCGCCCCACCAGCUUGUCAGACUCAAGUGUGUCUCCGUUUGCAGGGAGCACCUGUGUCCCCAGAGGCUCCAGUAGGGGAAACGAUGGUAAAAAGCCAUCAUUUAGGGAGACUCGAGUUUCCAAUACUCAGCUUAAAUUCUGACCCUCCCACUGGCUGCACGACACAAGGCCGUGGGGUUCCACUAAUGCUUUUUCUUGGCACUUUUUCUGAGUGGGACGAUCCCUUUAGCAUUUAUGAAGUUACCAGCAUUUAACGUUUUGUAUCAAUAUUUUACUACACAGGUGGAUGCAGUAGCCACAAAAUAAAGUCAUUACAAAAAUUCCA